Molecule: long non-coding RNA, 1340 nt
Organism: Magnolia sinica
Lineage: Eukaryota; Viridiplantae; Streptophyta; Magnoliopsida; Magnoliales; Magnoliaceae
Exons: 2
Source: RefSeq, a predicted model, not a curated record
UAAACGCAUGAUCUGAACCGUCCGUGUUGUAGACAUCUAAGAAAAGUGGGCCGAAGUCCGAACAGAUUCUGACCAUCAUUGUAUGCAGAAAGUUAGAACAUUGAAACGGAAAAUGUCAAUGGAUCAUAUUCAUCUCCGAAAAUCAAAUGUCACAAUAGUUUCUUUAGAAUGAUUAUUGAACCGUGAACCCAUUCUUGAUAUUAAUAAGAAAGUGGACGGUUUAAAUCAUCACAAGAUCUCAGCAUGUGGGCCCAAUGGGGCGAAACAUGCUGGCAGCACUUUGUCGCGGGACAGGGAAUCGCUACUCCCCACUAUAAGUUCUCCCCCUCCGACCCUUAAAAUACCCCUUUCUUCUCUUUUUUUGUUUUUGUUUUUGUUUUUUAAUUUUCCCGCCUCUUGAUUUCCCUUCCGGGCCGGCUGCCAAACGCUCUCUCCUUUCCCUCUCUUCUCAAAAUCGAACAGAUCACGAUCGCAGUUCGCAGAAAAUUCCGGAAUAGCAUCUUCGAGGCCAAAUCUCCAGAGAUGCCAGGUGAAGAUCGCCACGAUCUCUGUGAUACUUGAAAGAUUUGGGUUUUUUCUCCCCAUUCGAGAGUAAAUUCUCCAAAAUCCGGUUUUCUUCGAAGUUCUCCCACCUCUUUCCAUAGAAGAUCGCAGAUCCGCUCUUUGAUUCUUUAAUUUCAGCGGUAGCAGGUCUUUCAUUGCUUGAUCUUCGAUCGGACGGCAGAUGGCGUGCGUUUGCAGAUCGGAAGAUCCAGAUCCGUCCUCGAAACUCCGAGAAGGUCCGGGAGAGAGACGAGAAGCGGUAACCGUUUUCUUGCCUAACGAAGAAGAGACGGCACCAGAAACGGAUGCGGAGUGCUGCUGUACGCCAACGGCGAAGGAAUGCAGGAUCCCUGAGACGGUGACGUGUCCUCCCGCGCCGAGGAAAAGGAGAGCUGAUCGGUUUUCGAGUCUUCCAUCCGUUCGGCCCAAGGAGUAUUUCGUGCCGCACAAUCUCGACGCGUUUUUCACUUCGGUGUCGGUCCCAAAGGCGAAGUAUUUUCGGUAAUUCUCUAGAGUUCCAGGGGUAUUUUGGUCCGUCGGUUGCAGAGAAUGUCGCAGUGCAGGAGGUGGGGAAAUGAGGAUUCGGAGGGCAUUUUCGUCUUUUCAAAGGACAGAUGAGGCGAAGAAAACAGAGGUUCAAAUGGCCGGUAGUUGCCGCUUAUGUCAGUUGAGUUCGUGUGGCGACGAAGCAUGUAAAGCAACACAUGUGAGGCAUUCCAUGUAAUAAACGGCGCUUAUAUUGCACUAAAGUCUGUUGUUUGAAAAAAUUUUAUACUCUGGCAAAGUGUGUUACAUGA